RNAcentral lists this long non-coding RNA (1492 nucleotides) under Piliocolobus tephrosceles (Ugandan red Colobus). RNAcentral describes it as "lncRNA (ENSPTEG00000011042.1)". The record is from RNAcentral. Lineage: Eukaryota; Metazoa; Chordata; Mammalia; Primates; Cercopithecidae.
UUAUUAUGUGUGUUCAUACGUACGUACGUGCGUACAUGUACAUACAUACAUACAUACAUACACACACACACACACACAUACACACACAUAUAUAUAUACAAAUUUGAACAAACCAUUUGAAGACACAUACACAAACAAAAUGACUCACCUAAAUAAAUUACCCAUCUAUCCAUAUGAUGUUAACCAGAAAGAUUUUAAUAGCAAAGAGAAAAUUGAGAUAAAUGAGCAAAGUUGUAAGAAAUAUAAUAAAUUAGAAGAAGGAUUAUAUAUAAAUGAUGAAGAAAAAUUGUUAGAAAUAGAAGAAGAGAAAUAUUAUACAUUAUUAAGCAUUGCCUAUGGGUUGAUUGCAAUAUUAGCUGACUCUCCAUAUUUUAUUAUAAUAUCUAUGUCAGAUUAUUUUAAACAAGGUUUUAAUGUAACCGAUAUUAUGAUAAACGAAUUUGCAUUAAUGGAAAGUGUAAUUUUAAUUGUUGUUUGUAUUUUAUUACAUUUGAUUGGAAGUUAUAGAUUAAAAUGGAAUUUAUAUCAACCAUUAUGUACAGCUUUUUGUAUAAGUAUUAUAUUUUUUACUGUUCAUUUAAAAAAUGAUUAUAUAGGACACCGCAUAGUAAUAUAUAGUGCUAUUCCCUUUGCAAUAAUUUCAUGUAUAAUAAAAAUGACAUCAAUUAAAAUUUGUGUUUUAUUUAAAAAACAAUAUUGUAGUGCUUAUGUUUGUGGUUUAUCACUAUCUGGAUUUUUAGUUUUUAUUUUAUAUAUAUUAGGAGCAUAUGUUUUUUGGAAAUAUGAUGAUCAGAAAUUUAAAAAGAUGUUUUCUUUAUUUUGCAGUGUUAUUAUAUGUUUAUCAGUCAUAUGUUAUUUAAUAUUAAAUAAAAUAUAUAAAUUAUCAUUUGUAAAAAAAAUAGCGGAAGAAAAUGAAGAUAAAGGUUUUUCUAUUAAUAAAAAGAUUUUAAUUGAUUCAUUUGAAUCUAUACCAGUCGUUUAUAAAUAUAUACUUUUAGGGUUCGCUUCAAAUUUUAUUUGUUAUCAAAUGUACCCUACUAUUUUUCCAACAUGCACAGAUGCAACUAAAGAAACAAAAGGCAUGUUAUCAGGAAUGAUAUUAUUUGGAGAUUCUACAGCACAUUUGUUAGUUCAUUUUUAUAGUAAGCAUGUAUCCAAAGUUAAAUUUUUAUCAUUUCUUUCAAUUAAAAUUGCUAAAUUAUUAUUUAUACCUAUUUUUUUCAUAUUAAUUAUAGAUACCAAAUCUUUUUUUAAUAAACGAAUUUGUUUGAUUAUAUUAGCUUAUUUAUUUGGUUUUUCACAUGGACUAGUAUCCAAUUCAGUCUUUUUAAAAUUACCAGGUGUAUGUGAAAAAAAAAAUAAACAAGAGCAUCUUAAAAUUGCGUCAAAUGUUGUAUUUUUAUCAUUUAUUUUUGGUACGAUGGUUGGUGUUAUCCUCUCAAAAAUUUACGUUUAUUAUUUCAAUUUUCUCAAGGAUAAAAUAGAAUAAGGU